AUACGUAGGGGGCGAGCGUUGUCCGGAAUGAUUGGGCGUAAAGGGCGCGUAGGCGGCCCGGUAAGUCUGGAGUGAAAGUCCUGUUUUUAAGAUGGGAAUUGCUUUGGAUACUGUCGGGCUUGAGUGCAGGAGAGGUAAGUGGAAUUCCCAGUGUAGCGGUGAAAUGCGUAGAGAUUGGGAGGAACACCAGUGGCGAAGGCGACUUUCUGGACUGUAACUGACGCUGAGGCGCGAAAGUGUGGGGAGCAAACAGGAUUAGAUACCCUGGUAGUCCACACUGUAAACGAUGAAUGCUAGGUGUAGGGGGUAUCGACCCCUUCUGUGCCGCAGUCAACACAAUAAGCAUUCCGCCUGGGGAGUACGGCCGCAAGGUUGAAACUCAAAUGAAUUGACGGG
Molecule: ribosomal RNA, 396 nt
Filed under: uncultured bacterium
Lineage: Bacteria
Description: partial 16S ribosomal RNA
Rfam family: Bacterial small subunit ribosomal RNA
Source: RNAcentral